GCAGCAGGCACGCAAAUUACCCACUCCCGGCACGGAGAGGUAGUGACAAAAAAUAACGAUACGGGACUCUAUUGAGGCCCCGUAAUCGGAAUGAGUACACUUUAAAUCCUUUAACCAGGAUCGAUUGGAGGGAAAGUCUGGUGCCAGCAGCCGCGGUAAUUCCAGCUCCAAUAGCGUAUAUUAAAGUUGUUGCAGUUAAAAAGCUCGUAGUUGGUUUUGCGUGCCACGCUGUCGGUUCGCCGCCUGUCGGUGAAACUGGCAUGCCGUGGUACGUCCUGCCGGUGGUAAACGGUUACCUGGCGUGUGGCUUAGAACUUCUGUUUUUUGUCGCUGCCUUUGUGUAAUCGUUUGCCGAUUUUAUCCUACCCGGUGCUCUUAAACGAGUGUCGAGGUAGGCCGGCAAAUUUACUUUGAACAAAUUAGAGUGCUUCAUGCAGGCUUGAAAUAUAGCCUGAAUAGUGGUGCAUGGAAUAAUAGAAUAGGACCUCGGUUCUAUUUUGUUGGUUUUCGGAACUCAAGGUAAUGAUCAAUGUGGACAAGCGGGGGCAUUCGUAUUGCGGCGUUAGAGGUGAAAUUCUUGGAUCGUCGCAAGACGCACAAGAGCGAAAGCAAUUGCCAAGUAUGUCUUAAUUGAUCAAGAACGAAAGUUAGAGGUUCGAAGGCGAUCAGAUACCGCCCUAGUUCUAACCAUAAACGAUGCCAGCCAGCGAUCCGACGUGUUCAUAUUAUGACACGUGCGGGCAGCUUCUUCCCGGGAAACCAAAGCUUUUGGGUUCCGGGGGAAGUAUGGUUGCAAAGCUGAAACUUAAAGGAAUUGACGGAAGGGCACCACCAGGAGUGGAGCCUGCGGCUUAAUUUGACUCAACACGGGAAACCUCACCAGGUCAGGACAUUGUAAGGAUUGACAGAUUGAUAGCUCUUUCUUGAUUCAGUGGGUAGUGGUGCAUGGCCGUUC
Molecule: ribosomal RNA, 955 nt
Filed under: Macrocephalus sp. 1 CW-2009
Lineage: Eukaryota; Metazoa; Arthropoda; Insecta; Hemiptera; Phymatidae
Description: SSU rRNA
Rfam family: Eukaryotic small subunit ribosomal RNA
Source: RNAcentral